UACGUAGGGUGCGAGCGUUAAUCGGAAUUACUGGGCGUAAAGUGUGCGCAGGCGGCAGAGCAAGUCGAGUGUGAAAGCCCCGGGCUUAACUUGGGAAUUGCGCUCGAAACUACUUUGCUGGAGUGUGGCAGAGGAAGGUGGAAUUCCACGUGUAGCGGUGAAAUGCGUAGAGAUCAUGAGGAAGACCAGUGGCGAAGGCGGGUCUCUGGACAGUUCCUGACACUGAGGCACGAAGGCCAGGGGAGCAAACGGG
RNAcentral lists this ribosomal RNA (253 nucleotides) under uncultured bacterium. RNAcentral describes it as "partial 16S ribosomal RNA". It matches the Rfam family "Bacterial small subunit ribosomal RNA", at positions 524 to 776 of the family's 1533-position model. The record is from RNAcentral.